This 285-nucleotide ribosomal RNA is filed under the name uncultured archaeon. Its description in RNAcentral is "partial 16S ribosomal RNA". It matches the Rfam family "Archaeal small subunit ribosomal RNA", at positions 1060 to 1343 of the family's 1478-position model. The record is from RNAcentral.
GCAGUUUACGCGUAUCUCUGGAGUGACGGGUACACUGUGGGGACCGCCGCUGCUAAAGCGGAGGAAGGAAUGGGCAACGGUAGGUCAGUAUGCCCCGAAUGUCCCGGGCUACACGCGGGCUACAAUGGUUGGUACAAUGGGUAUCUACCCCGAAAGGGGAUGGAAAUCUCCUAAAGCCAAUCUUAGUUCGGAUCGAGGGCUGCAACUCGCCCUCGUGAAGCUGGAAUCCGUAGUAAUCGCGUUUCAAUAUAACGCGGUGAAUACGUCCCUGCUCCUUGCACAAAA